Molecule: long non-coding RNA, 259 nt
Organism: Mugil cephalus (flathead mullet)
Lineage: Eukaryota; Metazoa; Chordata; Actinopteri; Mugiliformes; Mugilidae
Exons: 3
Source: RefSeq, a predicted model, not a curated record
GGUGGAUGGUCUGUUUUGUGCAGGAUGAAGAGAGAAUCCAGAGAACUUGGGUUUAUUCGUAAUCCCAAUGUAUAUACAUCUCCAGAGGAAGUCACAGAAGAGGAUGAAUAUGUAAAUUAUACAGUUCCUGCUGUUGGGACAGAUCCUUCAGAGACCCACUGCAAAUAUGGUAUGAAGGUUCCUGCUGUCGUCCAGCGUUUUUCACCAGUAGCCGUGUGUUGGGUGAUACUGGUAAUAAUCCUGGCCCUCCGCAUCCACU